RNAcentral lists this long non-coding RNA (1421 nucleotides) under Anser brachyrhynchus (Pink-footed goose). Its description in RNAcentral is "lncRNA (ENSABRG00000005355.1)". The record is from RNAcentral. Lineage: Eukaryota; Metazoa; Chordata; Aves; Anseriformes; Anatidae.
CGUGUUCUUCAUUUCUGCCUUUUUCAGCAGCCUUGGGCUCACGUCUCCAGACCGCCGGCAAUAAAAGUUGGAGCGCAGCGCUGACAGCAUAUCUACCACAACUCAUCUCUUUCCGCACGUGUUCGAGGUUCGCUUUCAGCAAUGUCAUUAGGUGGAGCUGCAGCCUCUGGCACUUCUUGGAAGCUCCGUCUCUGUCACUCAUUAAACGCACUGAAGAGGGAUGGUAACCUCAAGAUAGAUUAAUUAUCAUCAUUGCCUCCAAGUAUAUCAUGCCCAAACUCUGUGAGAGGUUUUCUAGGUAAUUAAAAGAUGAGGCCCCUGCAAUGAGGAAGUUGCAAUUAAAACUCACGGUGCUGAUAUAGGAAAAGAAGAGGAGUUGCCUUGAAGAACAGAGCAGUAGAGUUCGCAUUGGGCUUCAUUUCGCUGUUCUCCUCCUCGCCGUGUAUUGCAGGCCCUGCUCUGAGGUAAGGAGUUAAGUGCUGAUCAAGUAAAUUUGCAUAACUUGGGCCCAUGGCAAGUUUAGUUAUGCUUGCAGGUAGGCUUCUUCCAUCCCACGCCAGCACAGCCAGCUCCUAACCCCCACGUGUCACCGACCUGCAUUCCUGCACCUGCAGGCAGCUGGGGACACUCACUCCAGCAAACAAGCACCUCAUCCCGGGUAGACAACCUGAGGAAGAAGAUGUGGAGAGCCUCUUGCACACAUGGCUCCUCCUGGCUGCACCUGGGACCUCCCUGCCCUCCCCCUGCCCUUCCUUGACAGUGGUUGAGGAGAGAAGGGCUUUUGGGGCUGUGAUCCCAAACAAAGCAGUCACCUGGGUGAGCACAGGACCCCGAGGUGCCCAGCCUUGCCUGCUGGCUUCCCGAGGAGAUCCGAGGAGCAUACCAGAGUGGGCCAGCAGACUGGGUGCUGGGCAUGUCAAAUACAGGCUGGAAGGGAUCAUGCUUCUCAAAAUGGGGUUUUGAUCACUCGCCUUUAGCUUGCUGGCAGUGAUGCUGAGGUUACAGGGGUUAUAUCGGAAAUGAGAGAUAAGGGUUUGAUUGCAUCCUCAUGAGGCUGCUAACCAUAUCACCCACUUUCCAGGGCAGCGCCCCACAGGCUGCCCGGGGUGUGCCUGCACAGCUCUAAGGCUUCUCUGAUUCAAUGCACAAAAUGAGGAAAAUGGCUUUUUUUUCCCCCUCUUUCUGGGCAAGGAGAGACUCAUCUGGGGCCUCCCACACCCUUAUGACCUUGUCCCGUGCACGUGGGGUCAAGCAGGCGUGCUCGCUUUCUGCAGGGCGGCUGCAGGUUGGCAGCAGCAGGGCACCAACGUGAUGCUGGUUGGUCCCGGGGGGGAUGCGAGCCCCUGCUGGGGCACCUGAGCACCUUGAGAAGGCCGGCACAAGUGAGGAAGUGAGGCAGCAACUUUUUAAAUUUUCUUUUU